AUUGAACGCUGGCGGCAUGCUUUACACAUGCAAGUCGAGCGGCAGCGCGGGGGCAACCCUGGCGGCGAGCGGCGAACGGGUGAGUAAUGCAUCGGAACGUAUCCUCGAGUGGGGGAUAACCCAGCUUAAGUUGGGCUAAUACCGCAUGAGCUCUGAUGUUGAAAGCGGUGGAUCUGCGAUGGCCUCGCGCUGUAGUAGCGGCUGAUGUCCGAUUAGCUAGUUGGUGGGGUAAAGGCUUACCAAGGCGACGAUCGGUAGCUGGUCUGAGAGGAUGAUCAGCCACACUGGGACUGAGACACGGUCCAGACUCCUACGGGAGGCAGCAGUGGGGAAUUUUGGACAAUGGGGGAAAGCCUGAUCCAGCAAUGCCGCGUGAGUGAAGAAGGCCUUCGGAUUGUAAAGCUCUUUCGGACGGAACGAAAUGGGCGGGACUAAUACUCCUGUCUGAUGACGGUACCGUAAGAAGAAGCACCGGCUAACUACGUG
RNAcentral lists this ribosomal RNA (486 nucleotides) under uncultured bacterium. Its description in RNAcentral is "partial 16S ribosomal RNA". It matches the Rfam family "Bacterial small subunit ribosomal RNA", at positions 30 to 507 of the family's 1533-position model. The record is from RNAcentral.